UACGUAGGGUGCAAGCGUUGUCCGGAAUUAUUGGGCGUAAAGAGCUUGUAGGCGGUUUGUCGCGUCUGCUGUGAAAUUUCGGGGCUCAACCCCGAACUUGCAGUGGGUACGGGCAGACUAGAGUGUGGUAGGGGAGACUGGAAUUCCUGGUGUAGCGGUGAAAUGCGCAGAUAUCAGGAGGAACACCAGCGGCGAAGGCGGCGCUCUGGGCCGGUACUGACGCUGAGGAGCGAAAGCGUGGGUAGCAAACAGG
This 253-nucleotide ribosomal RNA is filed under the name uncultured bacterium. RNAcentral's name for it is "partial 16S ribosomal RNA". It matches the Rfam family "Bacterial small subunit ribosomal RNA", at positions 524 to 776 of the family's 1533-position model. The record is from RNAcentral.